Molecule: long non-coding RNA, 857 nt
Organism: Drosophila novamexicana
Lineage: Eukaryota; Metazoa; Arthropoda; Insecta; Diptera; Drosophilidae
Exons: 3
Source: RefSeq, a predicted model, not a curated record
UCGGAAUAGCCUUGCUUUUUCAAGCAAAGCACAAGUCGAACACUUUUACACCCCACCCGAAACACUUAAAAUGGUGAUCAAAGCGAAUACAAUUACCGAACGCACCGUUCCCAAUUGAAUGAUCAAUAAUACAAAAUGCAAUUUAAGCCGUAAAAAUAUACAAAAUCCGAAGCCUUUCCGAAUAUGCCUUGACCAUAUAUAUCCAGUCCAUAAUAAUUUUAUCUGGCAUGAAUAUGAUAAGACUCGAAGACUUAACGAAACCCAGCAUUGACCAAAUGAACUUGCAUUAAGAACACGCUCUUCAGUUUAUAAAAUGAAGCAAACAAUUUUAGAUUGAGUAUAGGGAAUGUGCGAAGGAUUUGCCAGGCCAGAGAGAAGACCCUGAGAUAAGUUCGAGAUACUCUCAAGAUCAACUUGUGCAGUAUAUGCAUACAUAUAUGUAUAAAAAUAUAUAUGUUCUAUUGUUUAGAUAAUCAAUAGAUAUAUAAAUUAUAAUGCAUAUAUGUAUGCAUAACUGCACAAAUCCAAACUAGCUUAGAUAAUCUAAUAGUUCUUGAUUUAUUAAGAUCAUUUUUGUGAUUUUCCCCAAGUAUAUUUUAUCUUUUUACCAAUUGUUUUUAGCCAUGUUAGUUGUACUUCUAGGUAUUUUUACCCCAUAUGCAGCUCCAAAAACUCCUGGCUAGAGCUUGGGCUAGUUUUCAGUUAUAUGAAAGUAGGCUUCGUUAUUUUUUAUUGAAAUUAACUAGAAUUUUAGCAACAAUAGCUUCAGAGUGUGUUAAGUUACGCGUUCUGUUAAACAAUAAUAAAAUAAAUAUAUUUAAUAUAUAAAAAAAACAAAAAAAAAAAAACAUAAAACC